RNAcentral lists this ribosomal RNA (465 nucleotides) under Vreelandella stevensii. RNAcentral describes it as "partial 16S ribosomal RNA". It matches the Rfam family "Bacterial small subunit ribosomal RNA", at positions 338 to 795 of the family's 1533-position model. Lineage: Bacteria; Pseudomonadati; Pseudomonadota; Gammaproteobacteria; Oceanospirillales; Halomonadaceae. The record is from RNAcentral.
CCUACGUGCGGCAGCAGUGGGGAAUAUUGGACAAUGGGCGAAAGCCUGAUCCAGCCAUGCCGCGUGUGUGAAGAAGGCCUUCGGGUUGUAAAGCACUUUCAGUGGGGAAGAAAGCCUUGGGGCUAAUACCCUCGAGGAAGGACAUCACCCACAGAAGAAGCACCGGCUAACUCCGUGCCAGCAGCCGCGGUAAUACGGAGGGUGCGAGCGUUAAUCGGAAUUACUGGGCGUAAAGCGCGCGUAGGCGGUCUGAUAAGCCGGUUGUGAAAGCCCCGGGCUCAACCUGGGAACGGCAUCCGGAACUGUCAGGCUAGAGUGCAGGAGAGGAAGGUAGAAUUCCCGGGGUAGCGGUGAAAUGCGUAGAGAUCGGGAGGAAUACCAGUGGCGAAGGCGGCCUUCUGGACUGACACUGACGCUGAGGUGCGAAAGCGUGGGUAGCAAACAGGAUUAGAUACCCGAGUAGUC